Non-coding RNA from Hydra vulgaris (swiftwater hydra), 3069 nucleotides. The record is from RefSeq and is a predicted model, not a curated record. NCBI's taxonomy places the organism in Eukaryota, Metazoa, Cnidaria, Hydrozoa, Anthoathecata, Hydridae.
UUGAAUUUGCUUUAAACUUAUAAAUCAAUAAUGAAAACAUUGGUAUUAAAUUUUGUAGUUUUUAUAGCAUUGGUACUAAAUUUUAUAGCUUUGUUGUUACUUUUGUUUUAUUUGACGCAAUUUAAACGCAGGUAUUAAUCGGUAAACGCAGGUAUUAAUCGUAGUUUUAUAAUUUUUAAAUCCCGGGAUAUUUUAAAAAUAACCCCGGGAGUUCGGGGUUAUAAAAUUAGGCGGCAUCCCGGGAUUUCGGGAUCCCGGAAACCGGGAUUGCAAACCCUAUCUCUCACUAAUUCUUAUAAAUAUAAGUUAUUACCAUUAUUAUUAUAAUUAUAUUUACAUACCUGUCAUUACUAAUAUUUAUCAAAAAUACGUUCUGGUUGUUGAAUUCAUUUUCACUCAUAUCAGUAUGCAAAUAUUGUCAACAGUCAGUGUGCAUUGUUGAUGUUAUAAGCGUACAAUGUUAAAUCAAAACCAAAAAAAUAUCAAUGAUUAAAAAAUGCAGUUGAUGCAUAACAAUGAAGCCAUUUUGGCAUUUAUUUGUAAACACUUGGUGUUUAUAUCUGACAGUGGGAAAACUUUAUUAACUUCAGUCAUUUUGCUUGAAUAAAAUAAUAAAUAAUUGAAUAAAAAACAAUGGAAAAGUGUAAAAAUGAUUUAAAAGCUUUAAGUUCUUUAAAUAUAACCUAUCCUUCACAACAUUCGCCUGUUUGUUCCUCUUGAAUGUUUCUGACUAAACCAAUUUUUUGAGCAAUUUUAAACCAGUUAUUACAAUCACUAGCAGAAACGAAACUUUAAAUUUUGAUCAUUUUAAAAAUGCAAACAGUGUCUCAAUGGAAUAGUUACUAUUGUUUAAUAGUUACUGUAAUGUUAAACAUAUGGUGCAUUCUAUAGUUAUUGAUGUAACGUUUGCAAAUUUCAUUCCUAAUUUAAAUACUUUCCAUUUAUAUUAGAUCCUUGUAAUAAAAUUCAAUGUAUUUACAUGUAUGGAUAAUAUUGGUGUAUAUAUAAAAUUUCCAAACUGUUCGUGUUUAUCUUCAAGUAGAAAAAUAUUUGUUCGUUACUGACAUAACGCUGGGGUCUGCUAUUUUUCUAAUAUUAACAUUUGACUUUAAGUUUCUCUGAAAGUUGAAAGACAAAAAUCUGAAAAAUUACUUUGAAUUAAAGACUUAUUUAUCAAGAUGAUUUGUUGUACAUAUAAGUUAUAGAUGUAUUAAUUCCAUUUGCAAAAGAUAUUAUUUUGAAGCCAUAAAUUCAGACCUAAGUGAGCGCUGCUCAAAAUGAACUCGCUCAUGAGCGGCACUCAAAACUUUUGAGCGAAGUGUGAGCGCGAGCGACGUCAAAUUUAGAUGAAUGUGAGCGCAAGCGAACGCUUUUUUGAUAGCGCUCUAAAAUUACGCUUAUUCUGCGCCUUCAAGCGGCCAAAAAUUGAAUUAGUUAACAUAGAGUUAACUCCAUGUUAAAAUGCGCCAUCAAAUAGCGGUUAAAUAUUUAACUUUAUAUUUAAAACAGCACAUGUAUGUAACCAGCCAGAGAAACUUCUUAAUUUUAAUACUGCAGUUAACGUUUAGCGUUGUUUCACUUUCAUUUUUUAAAGUAGUUAGUUUAAAUAAUUUUCUGAAUUUAAAGAGCAAAUAUUGGGAAAGUUAUAGAAACUUUUUUUUGAGCGGAUUUGUGAGCAAAAGAGCGGAGCGCCCGCUCAAGAAUAUUUAUAAGCAGAUUUGCGAGCGUCCGUUCAUAAAAAGCUGAACGACAAAUUGAGCGCCGCGCAAAAUUUUCUGCAUAAAUUACUGACGUUACGCUACUGACGUAACGCUCCAACUCAGAGAAUCAUAGUUGUUUAAAAACAUGCUGAUUUAUUCAAGUUUUAUUUUACUUUUUAAUAACAUUUAUUAUUGAUAAAUUUGGUAUAUUAAAGAUAUUAGAUAAUUCCAGUAAACCUUAGGGCGUAGCCUGUGGGCGUCAAAAUAAAAAGGCGCUUAAACGUCAAAGUUUUUUUUUGUUUUAAUUUGAAAUAAAAAUUCUAAUAACAAAAAACAACUAAUCGGUAGCUUUAACUUUAAUUUUAAAUUUGGUAAAUAUUAUGUGACUCCUUUUAAUAAGACGUCUUCAAAAAAGAGGUCGAAAAGACGUCAAUCGGUUGUUAAUAAGGAAAUCAUUAUUUGUUUAAAAAAAUUAAAAUUAGUUACGAUAUCUUUGUUACGUUCUGAUUAGCCCGUUUUUUGUUUACAAAAUACUUUUAUAUAACUUUUAUGUGAAACGGUCUUUGCAUAGGAAAUUUAAUUAAAAAAUAAUUUUUUUCGCUGCUUAGCUAAAAAAUGUUAAUCGGAAGAAGCAAAAAUGGAUGGCGUGUUGCCAGUAAGAUGGUAUCGAUACGAUCUAGUCUCAAUUAAGUUAGUCGCAGCAAAAUUCAAGUAAAAAUUCAUGUUAUAGAAGAAAGAAAAAUAUCAAUAUCUGUUUUCAAUAACUUGGUUUUCAUAGCAAAUCUGAGAGGUGCAAAUGUUUAGCUUGGUUUAAGUACUACAUUAUAAAAUACAUCGUUGCACAGUCAUUUUGACGGUUGUAAAUUUAUUUAGAACACUCAGUUUUAUAUAUUUUUAGAUUGUUUACCGUUUGACCCCUGUCCUAAUCUAACCUAGUGGGUUCAAAAAAAAGGGACCGCGCUUGAAACAUGAGUGGAUUAAAAGGAUCAGCCUUUUUUGAAUUAAUUCUCGAAGUGGUAACCAGCUAGAAGUCGUGACCUGCUCGUAGGAAAGGAUUUCUCGACGUGAAAAUGUUAAUUUUAUUCAACCAAGAAACAGAGCUCGCUCAGGAAACAAAAAAGAAAGAGAAAGAUAAAAAAUAUUCUGUUGAACAAUACUAUUGUUUUAUUUAUAAAUUAUUCUCUUAUAUUUAAACAUAUAAAAGAUGUAGAAAAUGCUUUCUCUUUUAUAUUGACAUCUAAAAGAAGUUUUUUUACGGCAUCGGAAAGAGCUUUUUGCCAUACUUUGUAUGAAGAGCUAUUAGGGUAGGGUGGGGCAAGAUGCCCCCCUUAACAAACUUUAUCGUAUAUAAUAAAUACUUUUACAUUUU